Prosopis cineraria is the source of this 1380-nucleotide long non-coding RNA. RefSeq lists it as uncharacterized. The record is from RefSeq and is a predicted model, not a curated record. The transcript has 8 exons. NCBI's taxonomy places the organism in Eukaryota, Viridiplantae, Streptophyta, Magnoliopsida, Fabales, Fabaceae.
GCAUUGUUUAUGCGUGUUCAAGCGUGUUCAUACACGCGAACAAUCACUUGUAAAUUUAUUUUCCCAUUCUCGUAUUUCACAUUUGUUCUAUUUGCAAGAUCUCGCCACCGCUUUCUCCUUCGUUCAGUCAUUCCGACGGAAGGGCAUUACUUUUAGUGCGAUAUUCAAGUUGAGAAUAAGAGAAGAAGAGGGUGUGUAGAAAUUAAUUUGCGUGUGUAGAAAUCAGGAGGAGUAGAGAAGAAGAGGGUGCGAGGCUCCUCCGCAACCACCCCGAACGGCGGCAGAGAUCCCAACUCUGACCCCCCGCCGAAGAUAAUUUCGAUAAAUUGCGGGCGUUUCUACUUGUCUUGCAAAUUGCAUCUUCUUUUGGGGCAGAGCUGAUUGCUGUAUGUAUAAGGCAGCUAUACUCUGGCUUGAAUUAUAGGCUUCCCAUUUGGAGAUUAGCAAGACAAGUAAGGGUUGAAGGUUUGCGGGAGUCUGUUGCAAAAGAAAAAAGAAGAGAGAAGAUACCUCUUAAUGUGAUGACGAAAAACGAGAUAAAAAACCUUUGCUUUAUACAGACAUUCAUGCCUCUCCUUGUGAGUACUGAGCCCAAUGUUGGAGAAGAUGCAUUUGCGUGGCUGGCAUCUUUAUUUCCCUUGAUAGCAGAUGUUGCAAAUGGAAGGUUUACUUUUGAAACUUUUAACAACACCAACAGAAGUGGAGAAGCUACUUCAUAUUCCUGAAGAUUUAGUCCCAUUUAAAAUAUGAGCUGAGUGAGGCUGUGCUACUCAUCCAACAAGCAUUGCGGAACAGGUCAAGAAAUUUUCUUUCAAAUAGGGCCCUUGACAUUUUAUCAGCAUAAUGGUUCAAGUUGGUAAUUCUCUGAUGUAUAAGAUUGAAAGGAAAUUGAGUAAUGGAGGUUUUGGUCAAGUGCAUGUUGGAAGAAGGGUAAGUGGUGGCUCUAAGGGGCAGGUCCUAAUGCAAUUUAGGCAUCGAUGAACAAAAAGGCAUUUGGUUUCUCCAAUUCAUUCCUCCUACUCUAUUUUGAAGGUCCAUCAGGGCAUUCUUCCACUGGCAAUUGAAAAGGAGACACCUUACAAGGGAUGAGAUUACUAACAAUCUUGCUUUACAAGAUCCUUGCCAUGUCUAGUCCUUUGCCUUUAGGAAGAGAUUAAUGGGUGGAUCAAAGGACUGAGAGUAUGCAACUUAUAGGAAGAGAUUAUCAUAAGAAAUGUCUUCUUAUAUAUACAAGCAAGUAAAAUUAUUCUACAAUAUAAUUUUAUAGGACCUUUCUUAAUCUUUUUGGGCUUUUGUAUAGUUUUGGUCAUUUAAUCUCUCUCAUAUUGACCUUUUUUUCCCCCUGUGUUUCAGUAAUUGAAAAUUUCUUCUUCUUUUGAA